AAUUAGCCCUGAUGGAAGCGGCAUCUCCCGUCUCGUUUUUUUAACGAGACGGGAAUACAGCGGACAGCAGGAGUGAUG
Molecule: small RNA, 78 nt
Filed under: Flavobacterium sp. A45
Lineage: Bacteria; Pseudomonadati; Bacteroidota; Flavobacteriia; Flavobacteriales; Flavobacteriaceae
Description: Flavo-1 RNA
Rfam family: Flavo-1 RNA
Source: Rfam by way of RNAcentral